This 247-nucleotide ribosomal RNA is filed under the name uncultured bacterium. RNAcentral describes it as "partial 16S ribosomal RNA". It matches the Rfam family "Bacterial small subunit ribosomal RNA", at positions 523 to 769 of the family's 1533-position model. The record is from RNAcentral.
AUACGAAGGGGGCUAGCGUUGUUCGGAAUUACUGGGCGUAAAGCGCACGUAGGCGGAUAUUUAAGUCAGGGGUGAAAUCCCGGGGCUCAACCUCGGAACUGCCUUUGAUACUGGGUGUCUAGAGUGUGGAAGAGGUAAGUGGAAUUCCGAGAGUAGAGGUGAAAUUCGUAGAUAUUCGGAGGAACACCAGUGGCGAAGGCGGCUUACUGGUCCAUUACUGACGCUGAGGUGCGAAAGCGUGGGGAGC